RNAcentral lists this non-coding RNA (27 nucleotides) under Homo sapiens (human). The record is from RNAcentral. Lineage: Eukaryota; Metazoa; Chordata; Mammalia; Primates; Hominidae.
UGGUGGUUUCUACUCCGGACUGACUCU